RNAcentral lists this ribosomal RNA (300 nucleotides) under Triticum aestivum (bread wheat). Its description in RNAcentral is "partial small subunit ribosomal RNA". The record is from RNAcentral. Lineage: Eukaryota; Viridiplantae; Streptophyta; Magnoliopsida; Poales; Poaceae.
AUGAUGGCUAAUGGUGCAUCUCCAGAUUUCUUCAAAAUAGCUCUCGCUACUUACUCCAUUUUUCAUGCGGACAUAUGUUCUCGCUCUAAAAUAUUCUUAUAUAGAGAAUUACUGGAGAGUCUUAUUUUAAAUAUGUUCAGUUCUAUUAAUUAUGUCAUCAUAGGAAGAGUGACAUUAUUACUAGACACUAAUUUGCGUGUUAUUACGAUUAUCCGACUACAGAGAUUGGUUUUUGACACACCAUACUUAAUAAAUCUUCACAUGUUUUGCAUGACGCGUGUUGUUUUUCUUCUCCGAUGA